CCUACGGGGGGCAGCAGUGGGGAAUAUUGGACAAUGGGGGGAACCCUGAUCCAGCCAUGCCGCGUGUGUGAAGAAGGCCCUCGGGUUGUAAAGCACUUUCAGUGAGGAAGAACGCCUGGUGGUUAAUACCCAUCAGGAAAGACAUCACUCACAGAAGAAGCACCGGCUAACUCCGUGCCAGCAGCCGCGGUAAUACGGAGGGUGCGAGCGUUAAUCGGAAUUACUGGGCGUGAAGCGCGCGUAGGUGGCUUGAUAAGCCGGUUGUGAAAGCCCCGGGCUCAACCUGGGAACGGCAUCCGGAACUGUCAAGCUAGAGUGCAGGAGAGGAAGGUAGAAUUCCCGGUGUAGCGGUGAAAUGCGUAGAGAUCGGGAGGAAUACCAGUGGCGAAGGCGGCCUUCUGGACUGACACUGACACUGAGGUGCGAAAGCGUGGGUAGCAAACAGGAUUAGAUACCCCAGUAGUC
Molecule: ribosomal RNA, 465 nt
Filed under: Vreelandella stevensii
Lineage: Bacteria; Pseudomonadati; Pseudomonadota; Gammaproteobacteria; Oceanospirillales; Halomonadaceae
Description: partial 16S ribosomal RNA
Rfam family: Bacterial small subunit ribosomal RNA
Source: RNAcentral